RNAcentral lists this ribosomal RNA (392 nucleotides) under uncultured bacterium. RNAcentral's name for it is "partial 16S ribosomal RNA". It matches the Rfam family "Bacterial small subunit ribosomal RNA", at positions 523 to 918 of the family's 1533-position model. The record is from RNAcentral.
AUACGGAGGAUCCGAGCGUUAUCCGGAUUUAUUGGGUUUAAAGGGUGCGCAGGCGGCCACUUAAGUCAGCGGUUAAAUCGUGGGGCUCAACCCCAUUCUGCCGUUGAUACUGGGUGGCUUGAUUGCGGUCGAGGUUGGCGGAAUUCGUUGUGUAGCGGGGAAAUGCAUAGAUAUGACGAAGAACACCGAUUGCGUAGGCAGCUGACCAGACCGCAAAUGACGCUCAUGCACGAAAGUGCGGGGAUCGAACAGGAUUAGAUACCCUGGUAGUCCGCACAGUAAACGAUGAAUACUUGUUUUCGGCGAUAUAAUGUCGGAGGCAAAGCGAAAGCGAUAAGUAUUCCACCUGGGGAGUACGCCGGCAACGGUGAAACUCAAAUGAAUUGACGGGG